RNAcentral lists this ribosomal RNA (780 nucleotides) under uncultured bacterium. RNAcentral's name for it is "bacterial SSU rRNA". It matches the Rfam family "Bacterial small subunit ribosomal RNA", at positions 34 to 796 of the family's 1533-position model. The record is from RNAcentral.
CGCUGGCGGCGUGCCUAAUACAUGCAAGUCGAGCGAACGGACGAGAAGCUUGCUUCUCUGAUGUUAGCGGCGGACGGGUGAGUAACACGUGGAUAACCUACCUAUAAGACUGGGAUAACUUCGGGAAACCGGAGCUAAUACCGGAUAAUAUUUUGAACCGCAUGGUUCAAAAGUGAAAGACGGUCUUGCUGUCACUUAUAGAUGGAUCCGCGCUGCAUUAGCUAGUUGGUAAGGUAACGGCUUACCAAGGCAACGAUGCAUAGCCGACCUGAGAGGGUGAUCGGCCACACUGGAACUGAGACACGGUCCAGACUCCUACGGGAGGCAGCAGUAGGGAAUCUUCCGCAAUGGGCGAAAGCCUGACGGAGCAACGCCGCGUGAGUGAUGAAGGUCUUCGGAUCGUAAAACUCUGUUAUUAGGGAAGAACAUAUGUGUAAGUAACUGUGCACAUCUCGACGGUACCUAAUCAGAAAGCCACGGCUGACUACGUGCCAGCAGCCGCGGUAAUACGUAGGUGGCAAGCGUUAUCCGGAAUUAUUGGGCGUAAAGCGCGCGUAGGCGGUUUUUUAAGUCUGAUGUGAAAGCCCACGGCUCAACCGUGGAGGGUCAUUGGAAACUGGAAAACUUGAGUGCAGAAGAGGAAAGUGGAAUUCCAUGUGUAGCGGUGAAAUGCGCAGAGAUAUGGAGGAACACCAGUGGCGAAGGCGACUUUCUGGUCUGUAACUGACGCUGAUGUGCGAAAGCGUGGGGAUCAAACAGGAUUAGAUACCCUGGUAGUCC